RNAcentral lists this unclassified non-coding RNA (253 nucleotides) under uncultured Planctomycetota bacterium. RNAcentral describes it as "uncultured planctomycete contains 16S-23S intergenic spacer region". It matches the Rfam family "Bacterial small subunit ribosomal RNA", at positions 524 to 776 of the family's 1533-position model. The record is from RNAcentral. Lineage: Bacteria; Pseudomonadati; Planctomycetota.
UACGAGUGGGGCAAACGUUGUUCGGAAUCACUGGGCAUAAAGGGCGUGUAGGCGGUCCGGAAAGUCAUGGUUGAAACCCCCCGGCUCAACCGGGGAACAGGCUGUGAAACUGCCGGACUGGAGGAUGGCAGGGGGGUGUGGAACGAUCGGUGGAGCGGUGAAAUGCGUAGAUAUCGGUCGGAACACCGGUGGCGAAGGCGACACCCUGGGCCAUUCCUGACGCUGAGGCGCGAAAGCGUGGGGAGCAAGCAGG